This 482-nucleotide ribosomal RNA is filed under the name Priestia aryabhattai. Its description in RNAcentral is "bacterial SSU rRNA". It matches the Rfam family "Bacterial small subunit ribosomal RNA", at positions 57 to 521 of the family's 1533-position model. Lineage: Bacteria; Bacillati; Bacillota; Bacilli; Caryophanales; Bacillaceae. The record is from RNAcentral.
GCAGUCGAGCGAACUGAUUAGAAGCUUGCUUCUAUGACGUUAGCGGCGGACGGGUGAGUAACACGUGGGCAACCUGCCUGUAAGACUGGGAUAACUUCGGGAAACCGAAGCUAAUACCGGAUAGGAUCUUCUCCUUCAUGGGAGAUGAUUGAAAGAUGGUUUCGGCUAUCACUUACAGAUGGGCCCGCGGUGCAUUAGCUAGUUGGUGAGGUAACGGCUCACCAAGGCAACGAUGCAUAGCCGACCUGAGAGGGUGAUCGGCCACACUGGGACUGAGACACGGCCCAGACUCCUACGGGAGGCAGCAGUAGGGAAUCUUCCGCAAUGGACGAAAGUCUGACGGAGCAACGCCGCGUGAGUGAUGAAGGCUUUCGGGUCGUAAAACUCUGUUGUUAGGGAAGAACAAGUACGAGAGUAACUGCUCGUACCUUGACGGUACCUAACCAGAAAGCCACGGCUAACUACGUGCCAGCAGCCGCGGU